GUCGAGAAUCUUCCGCAAUGCGCGAAAGCGUGACGGAGCGACACCGCGUGAUGGAUGAAGUCCUUCGGGGCGUAAACAUCUUUUAUAAAGGAGGAAAUUUUUGACGUUACUUUAUGAAUAAGGGGCUCCCAAUCUCGUGCCAGCAGGAGCGGUAAUACGAGAGCCUCAAGCGUUAUCCGGAAUCAUUGGGCGUAAAGGGUGCGUAGGUGGUUUGAUUAGUCUCCCGUUAAAACUUCGAGCUUAACUCGAAAAGAGCGGGGGAAACGGUCAAACUAGAGUAUGUGAGAGGUGUGUGGAACUCAUGGUGUAGGGGUGAAAUCCGUUGAUAUCAUGGGGAACACCAAAAGCGAAGGCAGCACACUGGCACAUCACUGACACUGAGGCACGAAACCUAAGGUAGCGAAUGGGAUUAGAAACCCGAGUAGUCC
This 428-nucleotide ribosomal RNA is filed under the name uncultured bacterium. Its description in RNAcentral is "bacterial SSU rRNA". It matches the Rfam family "Bacterial small subunit ribosomal RNA", at positions 354 to 796 of the family's 1533-position model. The record is from RNAcentral.